AUCAAUCCCAAUAGAGUUUGUAGUGAUCAUGGUGUCUGUGAGUCUGGCUGUGUUGGUGUUAACUGUCAUCCUGUUCACAGUCUACAGAUGGAAAUGUAACAAGGUGCAAGGGUCGGUCUCCUCCAGCAGACAGACGUCUAGCAGACCAAAUAUCCACCCAGGAAACAGUGAGGAGGGGGACCAGGACUAUGAGAAUGACCCUGCUACAGACACCAUGGUUUAUAUAGGAAAA
Molecule: long non-coding RNA, 232 nt
Organism: Salvelinus namaycush (lake trout)
Lineage: Eukaryota; Metazoa; Chordata; Actinopteri; Salmoniformes; Salmonidae
Exons: 3
Source: RefSeq, a predicted model, not a curated record